RNAcentral lists this ribosomal RNA (216 nucleotides) under uncultured bacterium. Its description in RNAcentral is "partial 16S ribosomal RNA". It matches the Rfam family "Bacterial small subunit ribosomal RNA", at positions 118 to 335 of the family's 1533-position model. The record is from RNAcentral.
UGAGCAAUCUGCCCUUCACAUCGGAAUAACCAUUGGAAACGAUGGCUAAUACCGAAUAUGACUUCGGAUCGCAUGAUCUGAAGUGGAAAGCUCCGGCGGUGAAGGAUGAGCUCGCGGCCUAUCAGCUUGUUGGUGAGGUAAUGGCUCACCAAGGCAUUGACGGGUAGCCGGCCUGAGAGGGUGACCGGCCACACUGGGACUGAGACACCGGCACGA